Molecule: ribosomal RNA, 253 nt
Filed under: uncultured bacterium
Lineage: Bacteria
Description: partial 16S ribosomal RNA
Rfam family: Bacterial small subunit ribosomal RNA
Source: RNAcentral
UACGAGGGGGGCAAGCGUUGUUCGGAAUUAUUGGGCGUAAAGGGUGCGUAGGCGGUUUGACAAGUCUCAUGUGAAAUCUUCGGGCUCAACCCGAAGUCUGCAUGGGAAACUGUCGGGCUUGAGUAUGGGAGAGGUGAGUGGAAUUUCCGGUGUAGCGGUGAAAUGCGUAGAUAUCGGAAGGAACACCUGUGGCGAAAGCGGCUCACUGGACCAUAACUGACGCUGAUGCACGAAAGCUAGGGGAGCAAACAGG